Molecule: long non-coding RNA, 242 nt
Filed under: Elaeis guineensis (African oil palm)
Lineage: Eukaryota; Viridiplantae; Streptophyta; Magnoliopsida; Arecales; Arecaceae
Description: long non-coding RNA (EGUI_LNC040668)
Source: RNAcentral
CUGGUAGUUAGGAAUUCUUUCCUUCUAGUUACUUUGGUAAGAAAAGUUAAUCAGAGUCCUAAAAUUAUAAAAUUUACUUUAUAUCAUCACUAUUUUCUAUUUUUAAAGAUUAUAGAUAGACUUUUAGAGAUUUUUGGGAUUAUUUUAACUGGAUGAGAGUAGAGAUGUCUGAAAUUAUAAGAUUUAAAUUGGGAUACCUAUGCUAUGGCAGGAUAUCAUGGUUUAAAUAUGAGUUUAAUGUA